UGCAGGGGGGGCAAGCGUUGUUCGGAAUUACUGGGCGUAAAGGGCGCGUAGGCGGCCUGCUAAGUCGAACGUGAAAUCCCUGGGCUCAACCCAGGAACUGCGUCCGAUACUGGUUGGCUUGAAUUCGGGAGAGGGAUGCAGAAUUCCAGGUGUAGCGGUGAAAUGCGUAGAUAUCUGGAGGAAUACCGGUGGCGAAGGCGGCAUCCUGGACCGACAUUGACGCUGAGGAGCGAAAGCUAGGGGAGCAAACGGG
RNAcentral lists this ribosomal RNA (253 nucleotides) under uncultured bacterium. Its description in RNAcentral is "partial 16S ribosomal RNA". It matches the Rfam family "Bacterial small subunit ribosomal RNA", at positions 524 to 776 of the family's 1533-position model. The record is from RNAcentral.